RNAcentral lists this ribosomal RNA (865 nucleotides) under uncultured bacterium. RNAcentral's name for it is "bacterial SSU rRNA". It matches the Rfam family "Bacterial small subunit ribosomal RNA", at positions 341 to 1198 of the family's 1533-position model. The record is from RNAcentral.
ACGGGAGGCAGCAGUGGGGAAUAUUGCACAAUGGGCGAAAGCCUGAUGCAGCCAUGCCGCGUGUGUGAAGAAGGCCUUCGGGUUGUAAAGCACUUUCAGCGAGGAGGAAAGGGAUGUAGUUAAUAACUGCAUUCUGUGACGUUACUCGCAGAAGAAGCACCGGCUAACUUCGUGCCAGCAGCCGCGGUAAUACGAGGGGUGCAAGCGUUAAUCGGAAUUACUGGGCGUAAAGCGUGCGUAGGUGGUUUGUUAAGCAAGAUGUGAAAGCCCCGGGCUCAACCUGGGAACUGCAUUUUGAACUGGCAAACUAGAGUAUUGUAGAGGGUAGUGGAAUUUCCAGUGUAGCGGUGAAAUGCGUAGAGAUUGGAAGGAACAUCAGUGGCGAAGGCGGCUACCUGGACAAAUACUGACACUGAGGCACGAAAGCGUGGGGAGCAAACAGGAUUAGAUACCCUGGUAGUCCACGCCGUAAACGAUGUCAACUAGCCGUCUGUGACCUUGAGUCGUGGGUGGCGCAGCUAACGCACUAAGUUGACCGCCUGGGGAGUACGGCCGCAAGGUUAAAACUCAAAUGAAUUGACGGGGGCCCGCACAAGCGGUGGAGCAUGUGGUUUAAUUCGAUGCAACGCGAAGAACCUUACCAUCCCUUGACAUCCAGAGAAGAGACUAGAGAUAGACUUGUGCCUUCGGGAACUCUGUGACAGGUGCUGCAUGGCUGUCGUCAGCUCGUGUUGUGAAAUGUUGGGUUAAGUCCCGCAACGAGCGCAACCCCUAUCCUUAUUUGCCAGCGCGUAAUGGCGGGAACUCUAAGGAGACUGCCGGUGAUAAACCGGAGGAAGGUGGGGACGACGUCAAGUCCUCAUGG